GGAUGGACCAUAGCUCAGGUGCAGAGCAUCUGCCUUGCAUACUGGAAAGGUCCCAGGUUCAAAUCCUGGUGUCUCCA
Podarcis lilfordi (Lilford's wall lizard) is the source of this 77-nucleotide non-coding RNA. The record is from the annotation of a GenBank genome assembly. Lineage: Eukaryota; Metazoa; Chordata; Lepidosauria; Squamata; Lacertidae.